Molecule: long non-coding RNA, 1825 nt
Organism: Fukomys damarensis (Damara mole-rat)
Lineage: Eukaryota; Metazoa; Chordata; Mammalia; Rodentia; Bathyergidae
Source: Ensembl
CCCAGCUUGUGCUCCAUUCUGCUUGUUGGGCCUUUGUGAUCCCAGCUCUCUUUGUUCUUUUGGAAUUUUCAUUUCAGGCUCUAACUUGAUGUCAUCCCGAGAGCCGGGAGACCUGAGAGAAAAUUCCAGCUGCGGUUCUGUGCCUCUCAUAAAGCUGUGCUCAUUUUCCCUAGGAAAUGGUGAUCAGAUUCCUCAUCUGUAAACUGGGAUGUUGAUCCCGUGUUGUGUUAUUAAAUAUAUGGAAUGAGAUCUUUGGCAAUAAAGCAGAAAUGUAGGUCGCCUUAGUUAUCUUUUUUUCCAAGUAGCCGUAGAUGCGUUGCAUUCCAGGUAGAACCCAAGGUUAGAAAUUUCAGGGGUCUGAUUGGCCAGCUUUCUCUGUCACUUGGCCUAACCCAGCCAAGACUGGAGGUUCUGUGGAAUGUGAAAACUGCUGCUCCUCCUCAGAAGCCGAGGGGGCCUCACAAUGCAGGAAAAUCCUCCCCAUGCACCGAGAGGCUUCCUGCUUCACACUUGAGCCAGCUCUUACCAGGUGCCUGGAGCCAGUCGUGAUCAGAACUGAACUGUGUACCUGCUAUCACCCGGAUAUUCUGCCUCUCCACUGGCAGAACCAUUUUAGGGAAGAACCGGGAGACGUGUAUGUCUCACCCCUCACCUCCAUUUCCGGUACCAAACCCACUUUUCUGUUCUACAUAUUACCUGAAUUCACUUUCUCUUUUUUCCUCAUCGCUGCUCCAUUACUAACCCUAAUAAGUUUUCCUGUUCUUGUUUUCUUUUUCUGUCAAUUUAGAGUUCUAGAUCACCUAUCUGUCAAAAUCGCUUCCUAUUAAAUAUCUCUUACUGAAGGUCCUUCAUCCACACAACAAGAUCCUAUUUCCUUAACACACACACACACACACACACACACGCACACACACGGUUUUGUAGACCCCUGUGCUCCUCUCCUCAUUCACACAUGACGCUGUUGCCCCCAGCCCUCUCCUGGCUAAAUCCCCUCUCUAAAGGUCAUCCCGUCUUCAUCUCAAUCCCAUGGCUUCCCCUCACAACGAAGGCAGACAGGUCCCCUUCCUUAUAGUCCCGUAAUAUAUUGUAUUUACUCUUUGUGUGUUUUCUCCAGAAAUAGAGCAUGGGUAUCUUAAGGACGGAGACCGCCCUAAGCAUUAUGAUCCCAGUAAUGCCCACCACUUGGAUGUUUAAUAAGUGUGUGCUUAAUGAAGACAUGAAUAAAGUAUAAAUGUGCACUUACUCAUUCUGAUCAUUCCUUUAGACAGUGGCACUGCACGCAGAGGCAGUUAGCAUUUAUCAAACAUUCCGGGAACCCCCUCAUUUUCCAGCAUCCCUUGCACUUAGGUGUCACCCCCAGCACAGCAUCUCUGUGAGUAGCAGUGAGUUCUCCACAUCCGCUCUUCCCCUGCCCUGGCUCGGCUGGGCGUCUAGAUAAGAUGGUCCCACAAGGCUGUACGGAAGAAACCAUGGUAGAGGUGCCGUGGGAGUGGGAGGUAAGCCUGUCAUGUUAACCGCUGGAAAUCUCAGGAUUUAUGUUUCCACCGCAUAACCUGAUUUUCCCUGCACAGUGCUUAUUAUUUCAAGCUUAUACAUCAGUCUCCGUCCUGACAUGUACACGUAAGGUUUGGUUACCCUUUACCCAGCAUGCAACUCUUUCUCUUCCCCCGAAAUCUGCAGCACACCCAGGCCUGGGGAAAACUGCACCACAUAACGGGUAGUGUGCAACCAGCCUGCCUAUGGCUAGCCGGCCCCUGCCACGGAGCCUGCGUAUAGCACACUGCGCUUCCUAAACGUAACUUGCACCUCCCCUCUUUGCCCAGCC